AUCUUUUUGUAGUUCAUAAGCAUGAUGAUUAUGUUUUUACAUUCAUGUGUAAGAUGUGCCUCCCUCAAACCUUGUUAUGGUAUCAGCAUAUUACCUGUCUGACG
Small nucleolar RNA from Nomascus leucogenys (northern white-cheeked gibbon), 104 nucleotides. It matches the Rfam family "Small nucleolar RNA U13". NCBI's taxonomy places the organism in Eukaryota, Metazoa, Chordata, Mammalia, Primates, Hylobatidae. The record is from Rfam.